CCCUUAGAUGUUCUGGGCCGCACGCGCGCUACACUGAUGCAUUCAACGAGCCUAUCCUUGACCGACAGGUCCGGGUAAUCUUUGAAUCUGCAUCGUGACGGGGAUAGAUUAUUGCAAUUAUUAAUCUUCAACGAGGAAUGCCUAGUAGGCGCAAGUCAUCAGCUUGCGUCGAUUACGUCCCUGCCCUUUGUACACACCGCCCGUCGCUCCUACUGAUUGGUAUAUAAGGUAAAAAUCUCGGAGAAGUUGGGAUUUCAUGCAGGUUUACUUGCAUGUGCCUGGCCUCAAAGUUAUUUAAAUCUUCUGUACUAGAGGAAGGAGAAGUCGUAACA
Molecule: ribosomal RNA, 332 nt
Filed under: uncultured eukaryote
Lineage: Eukaryota
Description: partial 18S ribosomal RNA
Rfam family: Eukaryotic small subunit ribosomal RNA
Source: RNAcentral